UUAAGUUCAGCGGGUAUCCCUACCUGAUCCGAGGUCAAAAGUUAAAAAAGACUUGUGGAUGCAAGUGUUACUAGGUAAGAAUCGCGACUUGUGCUGCGCUUCAAUACCAAAACACUGGCUGCCAAUUGUUUUAAGGCGAGUCCAAACACCAGGGAGAGGACAAACACCCAACACCAAGCAAAGCUUGAAGGUACAAAUGA
This 200-nucleotide unclassified non-coding RNA is filed under the name Parastagonospora sp. RNAcentral's name for it is "partial internal transcribed spacer 2". The record is from RNAcentral. Lineage: Eukaryota; Fungi; Ascomycota; Dothideomycetes; Pleosporales; Phaeosphaeriaceae.